RNAcentral lists this ribosomal RNA (253 nucleotides) under uncultured bacterium. Its description in RNAcentral is "partial 16S ribosomal RNA". It matches the Rfam family "Bacterial small subunit ribosomal RNA", at positions 524 to 776 of the family's 1533-position model. The record is from RNAcentral.
UACGAAGGGGGCUAGCGUUGUUCGGAAUUACUGGGCGUAAAGGGCGCGUAGGCGGUGAUCUUUGUCAGAGGUGAAAGCCCGGGGCUCAACUCCGGAAUUGCCUUUGAAACGGGAUUGCUUGAGUCCGAGAGAGGAUGGCGGAAUUCCUAGUGUAGAGGUGAAAUUCGUAGAUAUUAGGAAGAACACCGGUGGCGAAGGCGGCCAUCUGGCUCGGUACUGACGCUGAUGCGCGAAAGCGUGGGGAGCAAACAGG